UUCCAGACUCCUACGGGAGGCAGCAGUGGGGAAUAUUGCACAAUGGGGGAAACCCUGAUGCAGCGACGCCGCGUGAGUGAGGAAGUAUUUCGGUAUGUAAAGCUCUAUCAGCAGGGAAGAAAAUGACGGUACCUGAGUAAGAAGCCCCGGCUAACUACGUGCCAGCAGCCGCGGUAAUACGUAGGGGGCAAGCGUUAUCCGGAUUUACUGGGUGUAAAGGGGGCGCAGACGGCGAUGCAAGCCAGGAGUGAAAGCCCGGGGCCCAACCCCGGGACUGCUCUUGGAACUGCGUGGCUGGAGUGCAGGAGGGGCAGGCGGAAUUCCUGGUGUAGCGGUGAAAUGCGUAGAUAUCAGGAGGAACACCGGUGGCGAAGGCGGCCUGCUGGACUGCAACUGACGUUGAGGCCCGAAAGCGUGGGGAGCAAACAGGAUUAGAUACCCGUGUA
RNAcentral lists this ribosomal RNA (446 nucleotides) under uncultured bacterium. Its description in RNAcentral is "bacterial SSU rRNA". It matches the Rfam family "Bacterial small subunit ribosomal RNA", at positions 329 to 792 of the family's 1533-position model. The record is from RNAcentral.